This 892-nucleotide ribosomal RNA is filed under the name uncultured bacterium. RNAcentral's name for it is "bacterial SSU rRNA". It matches the Rfam family "Bacterial small subunit ribosomal RNA", at positions 66 to 951 of the family's 1533-position model. The record is from RNAcentral.
GCAGCACAGGAGAGCUUGCUCUCUGGGUGGCGAGUGGCGGACGGGUGAGGAAUGCAUCGGAAUCUACUCUUUCGUGGGGGAUAACGUAGGGAAACUUACGCUAAUACCGCAUACGACCUACGGGUGAAAGCCGGGGACCUUCGGGCCUGGCGCGAAAGAAUGAGCCGAUGCCCGAUUAGCUAGUUGGCGGGGUAAGAGCCCACCAAGGCGACGAUCGGUAGCUGGUCUGAGAGGAUGAUCAGCCACACUGGAACUGAGACACGGUCCAGACUCCUACGGGAGGCAGCAGUGGGGAAUAUUGGACAAUGGGCGCAAGCCUGAUCCAGCCAUACCGCGUGGGUGAAGAAGGCCUUCGGGUUGUAAAGCCCUUUUGUUGGGAAAGAAAAGCAGUCGGUUAAUACCCGAUUGUUCUGACGGUACCCAAAGAAUAAGCACCGGCUAACUUCGUGCCAGCAGCCGCGGUAAUACGAAGGGUGCAAGCGUUACUCGGAAUUACUGGGCGUAAAGCGUGCGUAGGUGGUUGUUUAAGUCUGUCGUGAAAGCCCUGGGCUCAACCUGGGAAUUGCGAUGGAAAUUGGGCGACUAGAGUGUGGCAGAGGGUAGUGGAAUUCCUGGUGUAGCAGUGAAAUGCGUAGAGAUCAGGAGGAACAUCCGUGGCGAAGGCGACUGCCUGGGCCAACACUGACACUGAGGCACGAAAGCGUGGGGAGCAAACAGGAUUAGAUACCCUGGUAGUCCGCGCCCUAAACGAUGCGAACUGGAUGUUGGGUGCAAUUUGGCACGCAGUAUCGAAGCUAACGCGUUAAGUUCGCCGCCUGGGGAGUACGGUCGCAAGACUGAAACUCAAGGAAUUGGCGGGGGCCCGCACAGCGGUGGAGUAUGUGGUUUAAUU